GACGAACGCUGGCGGCGUGCUUAACACAUGCAAGUCGAACGGAAAGGCCCUGCUUUUGUGGGGUGCUCGAGUGGCGAACGGGUGAGUAACACGUGAGUAACCUGCCCUUGACUUUGGGAUAAUUUCAGGAAACUGGGGCUAAUACCGGAUAGGAGCUCCUGCUGCAUGGUGGGGGUUGGAAAGUUUCGGCGGUUGGGGAUGGACUCGCGGCUUAUCAGCUUGUUGGUGGGGUAGUGGCUUACCAAGGCUUUGACGGGUAGCCGGCCUGAGAGGGUGACCGGCCACAUUGGGACUGAGGUACGGCCCAGACUCCUACGGGAGGCAGCAGUGGGGAAUAUUGCACGAUGGGCGGAAGCCUGAUGCAGCAACGCCGCGUGCGGGAUGACGGCCUUCGGGUUGUAAACCGCUUUCGCCUGUGACGAAGCGUGAGUGACGGUAAUGGGUAAAGAAGCACCGGCUAACUACGUG
This 468-nucleotide ribosomal RNA is filed under the name uncultured bacterium. RNAcentral describes it as "partial 16S ribosomal RNA". It matches the Rfam family "Bacterial small subunit ribosomal RNA", at positions 28 to 507 of the family's 1533-position model. The record is from RNAcentral.